AUGAGCCCGUCGACGGCGCCUGUGCAGCAGCGCAGGGGGCCCUCGCGCCACGCGACGGUGCCCAGGGCCGCCACAACGCGACCGGCGAUAAGGAUCAUCCACAUCAUCGCGCCGGAGAUCAUCAAGACCGACGCCGCCAACUUCCGGGACCUCGUGCAGCGCCUCACCGGGAGGCACCACCACCAGACCGCCGAUGCCAGGGCGGACGACGAUGACAACAGCAAGGCAGUGACGGAGAACGGGAGGAGGAAGAAGAUCAAGUGCGAGGUGGUGAACGUGGAGGAAGGAGGGUUCGGCUGCGGCGUCGGCGGUGAUCUCGAUUUCAGCGAGCUGUGGAUGGAUCUCAACCCCGGGGGAUUCCUGAGCUUCUUGGAGGAGGACGUCUUCCAGGGGAUGAUAGCUCCGGAUUUGCUGCAGCAGCCUCAGGGGGCACCGACACCGAGGAUGGAUUUGGUUGGCGAAAUGUGCGCCUCCUGUCUAGCUUAG
RNAcentral lists this ribosomal RNA (486 nucleotides) under Triticum aestivum (bread wheat). Its description in RNAcentral is "partial small subunit ribosomal RNA". The record is from RNAcentral. Lineage: Eukaryota; Viridiplantae; Streptophyta; Magnoliopsida; Poales; Poaceae.